UGCUAUCGGAUUGAUACUAAGCCAUGCGAGUCAUUGUAGCAAUACAAGGCAGACGGCUCAGUAACGCGCAGUCAACCUACCCUAUGGACGGGAAUAACCUCGGGAAACUGAGAAUAAUGCCCGAUAGAACAUUAUGCCUGGAAUGGUUUAUGUUCCAAAUGAUUUAUCGCCGUAGGAUGGGACUGCGGCCUAUCAGUUUGUUGGUGAGGUAAUGGCCCACCAAGACUAUUACAGGUACGGGCUCUGAGAGGAGUAGCCCGGAGAUGGGUACUGAGACACGGACCCAGGCCCUAUGGGGCGCAGCAGGCGAGAAAACCUUGCAAUGUGCGAAAGCACCGACAAGGUUAAUCCGAGUGGUUUCUGCUAAAGGAACCUUUUGUCGGUCCUAAAAACACCGAUGAAUAAGGGGUGGGCAAGUUCUGGUGUCAGCCGCCGCGGUAAAACCAGCACCUCAAGUUGUCAGGAUGAUUAUUGGGCCUAAAGCAUCCGUAGCCCGGCUCUGUUAGUUUUCGGUUAAAUCUGUACGCUCAACGUACAGGCUGCCGGGAAUACUGCAGAGCUAGGGAGUGGGAGAGGUAGACGGUACUCGGUAGGAAGGGGUAAAA
Molecule: ribosomal RNA, 605 nt
Filed under: uncultured marine archaeon
Lineage: Archaea
Description: bacterial SSU rRNA
Rfam family: Archaeal small subunit ribosomal RNA
Source: RNAcentral